RNAcentral lists this unclassified non-coding RNA (289 nucleotides) under uncultured Agaricomycetes. RNAcentral's name for it is "sequence contains ITS2". Lineage: Eukaryota; Fungi; Basidiomycota; Agaricomycetes. The record is from RNAcentral.
AAUUCUCAACUUCAAUAGUUUGUAAUGAACUUAUUGAAGCUUGGAUGUGGAGGCUUUGUUGGCGUCAUUGAAGACGGUCGACUCCUCUUAAAUGCAUUAGUAGGAACCCGUUUGUUGGACCGUCCUUGGUGUGAUAAUUAUCUACGCUUAGGUUAGUUCAAUGAACUCUACUGAGUCAGUCUAACGACUGGAUUGGGUUUUGCAUUAGGUUGCUUUACCUUGCGCUCAUUAGAGUUAGGGACUUUAUCUGCUAUCUAACCGUCUGUGUAUGCGGACAAUUGACUUGACU